This 29-nucleotide small RNA is filed under the name Bombyx mori (domestic silkworm). RNAcentral's name for it is "piRNA piR-bmo-1850200". The record is from RNAcentral. Lineage: Eukaryota; Metazoa; Arthropoda; Insecta; Lepidoptera; Bombycidae.
UAUCGAAGUGGCGCAUGGACGCCGACUGA